AAUUUUGGACAAUGGGGGCAACGCUGAUCCAGCCAUCCCGCGUGUGCGCUGAAUGCCUUCGGGUUGUAAAGCACUUUUGUCAGAGAAGAAAAGGCACUGGUUAAUACCUGGAGCUGCUGCCGAUACCUGCAGAAUAAGCACCGACUAACUACGUGCCAGCAGCCGCGGUAAUACGUAGGGUGCAAGCGUUAAUCGGAAUUACUGGGCGUAAAGGGUGCGCAGGUGGUUUGGCAAGAAGGAUGUGAAAUCCCGGGGCUUAACCUCGGAACUGCAUUCUUAACUGCCAGGCUAGAGUAUGUCAGAGGGGGGUAGAAUUCCGCGUGUAGCAGUGAAAUGCGUAGGGAUGCGGAGGAAUACCGAUGGCGAAGGCAGCCCCCUGGGAUAAUACUGACGCUCAGGCACGAAAGCAUGGGGAGCAAACA
Molecule: ribosomal RNA, 422 nt
Filed under: uncultured bacterium
Lineage: Bacteria
Description: partial 16S ribosomal RNA
Rfam family: Bacterial small subunit ribosomal RNA
Source: RNAcentral